Molecule: ribosomal RNA, 254 nt
Filed under: uncultured bacterium
Lineage: Bacteria
Description: partial 16S ribosomal RNA
Rfam family: Bacterial small subunit ribosomal RNA
Source: RNAcentral
UUCCUACGGGAGGCAGCAGUGGGGGAUAUUGCACAAUGGAGGAAACUCUGAUGCAGCGACGCCGCGUGAGGGAAGACGGUCUUCGGAUUGUAAACCUCUGUCUUUGGGGAAGAAAAUGACGGUACCCAAAGAGGAAGCUCCGGCUAACUACGUGCCAGCAGCCGCGGUAAUACGUAGGGAGCGAGCGUUGUCCGGAAUUACUGGGUGUAAAGGGAGCGUAGGCGUGCGAGAAAGGUGAAUGUUAACUUUACAGG